AAUAGAUACCCAGGUAGUCCACGCCGUAAACGAUGGAUGCUAGCCGUCGGGGAGCUUGCUCUUCGGUAACGCAGCUAACGCGUGAAGUAGACCGCCUGGGGAGUACGGUCGCAAGAUUAAAACUCAAAGGAAUUGACGGGGACCCGCACAAGCGGUGGAUGAUGUGGAUUAAUUCGAUGCAACGCGAAAAACCUUACCUACCCUUGACAUGCCACUAACGAAGCAGAGAUGCAUUAGGUGCCCGAAAGGGAAAGUGGACACAGGUGCUGCAUGGCUGUCGUCAGCUCGUGUCGUGAGAUGUUGGGUUAAGUCCCGCAACGAGCGCAACCCUUGCCAAUAGUUGCUACGAAAGGGCACUCUAUUGGGACUGCCGGUGACAAACCGGAGGAAGGUGGGGAUGACGUCAAGUCCUCAUGGCCCUUAUGGGUAGGGCUUCACACGUCAUACAAUGGCUGGUACAGAGGGUUGCCAACCCGCGAGGGGGAGCCAAUCCCACAAAACCAGUCGUAGUCCGGAUUGCAGUCUGCAACUCGA
This 534-nucleotide ribosomal RNA is filed under the name uncultured bacterium. RNAcentral describes it as "bacterial SSU rRNA". It matches the Rfam family "Bacterial small subunit ribosomal RNA", at positions 777 to 1315 of the family's 1533-position model. The record is from RNAcentral.